This 270-nucleotide ribosomal RNA is filed under the name uncultured bacterium. Its description in RNAcentral is "partial 16S ribosomal RNA". It matches the Rfam family "Bacterial small subunit ribosomal RNA", at positions 30 to 313 of the family's 1533-position model. The record is from RNAcentral.
AUUGAACGCUGGCGGCAUGCUUUACACAUGCAAGUCGUACGGGAUGGCUGGGCAACUGGCCAUUCAGUGGCGAACGGGUGAGUAAUCGAUCGGAACGUAUCCGAGCGUGGGGGAUAACUACUCGAAAGAGUAGCUAAUACCGCAUAUGCUCGAGGAGAAGCGGGACUUGGCUCGCGCGCCGGAGCGGCCGAUUGCCGAUUAGCUAGUAGGUGAGGAAUGGCUCACCUAGGCCACGAUCGGUAGCGGGUCUGAGAGGACGAUCCGCCACAC